UCGUACGCUUCUUUUUCCACCGGAGCUUGCUCCACCGGAAAAAGAAGAGUGGCGAACGGGUGAGUAACACGUGGGUAACCUGCCCAUCAGAAGGGGAUAACACUUGGAAACAGGUGCUAAUACCGUAUAACAAUCGAAACCGCAUGGUUUUGAUUUGAAAGGCGCUUUCGGGUGUCGCUGAUGGAUGGACCCGCGGUGCAUUAGCUAGUUGGUGAGGUAACGGCUCACCAAGGCCACGAUGCAUAGCCGACCUGAGAGGGUGAUCGGCCACAUUGGGACUGAGACACGGCCCAAACUCCUACGGGAGGCAGCAGUAGGGAAUCUUCGGCAAUGGACGAAAGUCUGACCGAGCAACGCCGCGUGAGUGAAGAAGGUUUUCGGAUCGUAAAACUCUGUUGUUAGAGAAGAACAAGGAUGAGAGUAACUGUUCAUCCCUUGACGGUAUCUAACCAGAAAGCCACGGCUAACUACGUGCCAGCAGCCGCGGUAAUACGUAGGUGGCAAGCGUUGUCCGGAUUUAUUGGGCGUAAAGCGAGCGCAGGCGGUUUCUUAAGUCUGAUGUGAAAGCCCCCGGCUCAACCGGGGAGGGUCAUUGGAAACUGGGAGACUUGAGUGCAGAAGAGGAGAGUGGAAUUCCAUGUGUAGCGGUGAAAUGCGUAGA
This 661-nucleotide ribosomal RNA is filed under the name Enterococcus durans. RNAcentral describes it as "bacterial SSU rRNA". It matches the Rfam family "Bacterial small subunit ribosomal RNA", at positions 62 to 694 of the family's 1533-position model. The record is from RNAcentral. Lineage: Bacteria; Bacillati; Bacillota; Bacilli; Lactobacillales; Enterococcaceae.